Amborella trichopoda is the source of this 1650-nucleotide RNA transcript. It is a transcript of the gene named DNA double-strand break repair protein, with no coding region annotated. The record is from RefSeq and is a predicted model, not a curated record. Lineage: Eukaryota; Viridiplantae; Streptophyta; Magnoliopsida; Amborellales; Amborellaceae.
AAGUGGCUUUUGUAAGGGACUGCUCGAAAACCUAAGGCUUAAAGCCCGUAGUUUAUUUGCGUGCAAGCCUUCGAGUAAAGGUAAAGCAACAUGUCAGGAAGAAACCGUGGACCUCGCCAUAUGGUGGAGGAUGGCAGGCGAGGCUAUCGGCCUGGGCCGCCUGGUAUACACGAAGGCCCAUUCAUUCGUGGACCUGGACCUGUUCCGCGCCCCAUUAUAUUGGAGGAGGAGCUUGAGAUUCAACAUGAGGAGAUUCGACGGCUUGUAGGUGAUAAUCGGAGGCUCGCCGAAGAUCGAAUGGUCCUCCAACAAGAGCUCGGCCUUGCAAAGGAGGAAUUGCAUCGCUUGAAUAUGGUUAUAUCUGAUAUUCGUGCUGAAAAAGAUGCGCAGGUGAGGGACAUGAUUGAGAAGGGAUUAAAGCUCGAGGCUGAGUUGAGGGCUCUUGAGCCUAUGAAAGCAGAAGCCACGCAAUUGCGGUCGGAUGCUGUGAAACUGAAUGCAAUGAGGCAGGAAUUGACAGCUCAAAUUCAGGCGAUGACCCAGGAUUUGGCGAGGGCACAGGCUGACAACCAGCAGAUUCCUAUGCUGAGGUCGGAGAUUGAUGGUUUGCGCCAAGAACUUGUCAGGGCCAGGACGGCUUUUGAGUACGAGAAGAAAGCAAAUGCUGAGCAGAUGGAGCAGAGGCAAGCAAUGGAGAAAAACCUGAUUUCUAUGGCUCGUGAAGUUGAGAAGCUGAGGGCAGAGCUCGUUGGUUUGGAACAAAGAGGUGGACACUAUGGACUAAAACUUGGAAGUCCUGAAAUCGGGGUUGGUGGUCCCUAUGGGGAUGGAUAUGGACACCACAUGGGGGGUGGUGAAAAGGGUCCUAUGUAUGGAGUUGGAUCUGGUGCUUGGGGAUCAUAUGACAAAUCUCGUAUCUCACGUCGUUAGAUUUUCAACGGAGUUAUGAUCAGAAGUGGAAAGAAGCAUGAACUGUGAUACUUGAACUGCUUGGCUCUUCAAUGUUCAAGGGUGAUUGUCCUCCAAUGUGGGACUUCUUUUUCAUGAAGAAUACAAGAGAACCAUGAAAAAUAAGCUCUUUAGGGAAUUGGUUGAAAACAGGACAUGAUCAUUGAGGGUUCAUGGUCAGGAUUCUUGUAAACCCUGGUUUUACUUGGUUUCUUGUUGUUUUUGGUGUCUGGGCCUGUUUUCGUGGCUUUUGGUGUCUGGUCUUGGAGAUUCAGGACCAAUCCUUGUGUGCGAAUUUUGGUGGAUUCACCAACUUUUGGGAUUUUUCUUCGUUUAGAUAGAGUUCAUAGUUCUCAUUAAGAAUGGAUUGGAUUGUGAGUGAUGAUUCUUGGAGUGAGUGUAUAUCUCUUUUAGAUUUUGAUGGGUUUGUGGAGUUUAGGGUUAUCUCGGCGUAAUUGCUACCGGGAUUCACUGAUGAUUGGGGGUGAAAAGUGGGUUUUGUUUGAGAGAGAGAGCAUUCAUAUUUGCAGAGGUUCCUAAUUUUCUGUGUGUUUUAAAGGGGUCUACCGAGGGAUUUUGCUUUUUCGCAAAACUUCUAGCUUUCAUUGCGAUCUGUACAAUGUUCUACGGAAGCCAUAUACUUUUUUAUGGGCGUUUUGAAAUUAAAUGAAAAUGUGCUUUUUUAUGGGUGCUUUGAGAUUA